CUUAAAUUGUGGGGAGCUGGAGGCAUAACAGGUCUGUGAUGCCCUUAGAUGUUCUGGGCUGCACGCGCGCGACACUGAUCUAUUCAACGAGCUUACUGGAUCGAUAAAUUUGGUGAAUCUUUUGAAAAUAAAUCGGGCUGGGGAUUGAUGCUUGAAAUUUUUCAUCAUGAACGAGGAAUUCCUAGUAAACGCAAGUCAUCAACUUGCAUUGAUUACGUCCCUGCCCUUUGUACACACCGCCCGUCGCACCUACCGAUUGAAUGGUCCAAUGAACACUUUGAAUUUUAUUAAA
Molecule: ribosomal RNA, 292 nt
Filed under: Blastocystis sp. subtype 14
Lineage: Eukaryota; Bigyra; Opalinata; Blastocystidae
Description: partial small subunit ribosomal RNA
Rfam family: Eukaryotic small subunit ribosomal RNA
Source: RNAcentral